GUAGUAGCAAAUACUCUAGCGAGACCCUGGAGGGCUGAUGUGGAGAAGGGUUUCGUGUGAACAGCCGUUGCACACGAGUCAGUCGAUCCUAAGCCCUAGGGGAAACCCGAUGCAUGCCGGCCGUUGGCCGCGUCGGGCGAAAGGGAAUCCGGUCCCCAUUCCGGAACCCGGUCGCGGAACCGUUUCACGUCGGGCCCGCGCCGAGAGGCGCAAGCUCGUCGGGGUAACCCAACAUGACCCGGAGAAGCCGUCGGGAGGUCUGGGAAGAGUUUUCUUUUCUGUUUGAGCGUUCGGGUUCCCUGGAAUUGCCUAGCGCAGAGAGAGGGAAUGGAACGCGUAGAGCACCGCAGUUGCGGCGGUGUCCAGACAUGCCCUUCGGACCUUGAAAAUCCGGGGACGGGCCACGUGGAGGUGUCGCGCCGGUUCGUACCCAUAUCCGCAGCAGGUCUCCAAGGUGAAGAGCCUCUAGUCGAUAGACGAAUGUAGGUAAGGGAAGUCGGCAACUUGGAUCCGUAACUUCGGAAUAAGGAU
Molecule: ribosomal RNA, 531 nt
Filed under: Lepidogryllus comparatus
Lineage: Eukaryota; Metazoa; Arthropoda; Insecta; Orthoptera; Gryllidae
Description: eukaryotic LSU rRNA
Rfam family: Eukaryotic large subunit ribosomal RNA
Source: RNAcentral